RNAcentral lists this ribosomal RNA (497 nucleotides) under uncultured bacterium. Its description in RNAcentral is "partial 16S ribosomal RNA". It matches the Rfam family "Bacterial small subunit ribosomal RNA", at positions 28 to 507 of the family's 1533-position model. The record is from RNAcentral.
GAUGAACGCUGGCGGCGUGCCUAAUACAUGCAAGUCGAGCGAACAGACGAGGAGCUUGCUCCUCUGACGUUAGCGGCGGACGGGAGAGAAACACGUGUAUACCCUCCUUAACAGACUGGGAUAACUUCGGGAAACCGGGUCUAAUCCCGGAUAAUAUAUUGCACCGCAUGGUUCAAUGGUGAAAGUCGGUUUUGCUGUCACUACUCGCUGGUUCCGCGCCGCAUUGUCUGGUUGGUAAGGUAACGGCUUACCAAGGCAAGUAGGCGUGACCGACCUGAGGGGGGGAUAGCCCACCUGGGAACGUGGACACGGUCCAUACUCCUACGGGAGGCAGCAGUAGGGAACCUGCCGCAAUGGGCGAAAGUCUGACGGAGCAGCGCGGCGUGAGUGAUGAAGGUCUUGGGAUCGUAAAACUCGGUUAUUAGGGAAGAACAAAUGUGUAAGUAACUAUGCACGUCUUGACGGUACCUAAUCAGAAAGCCACGGCUAACUACGUG